GCGAUGGCUCCAUUGUGCAAGUCAACUUUCAAGGAAGGCCCACCAAGCAUGUGCUUGUACUGCGUAGGAAUAACCUCCAAUAUUGCUACUGCACCAGCAACCGCACCAGCUGCCUGAGCAGGGAAUCGGGUGGCAACGGUAAAAAGAGAAUCUUUUCCAACCCCAGCAGCAUAAAACGCCGCUGUACCAGCAGGAUUAAAAGCGGCACCACCCAAAGCAUCGCCGAUAAUCCCAAAGACAAAGAAGAGCAUAAAAAGAAGCACAGUAGUAAUAAAUAGCGAAGCCAUUCCUUGAGCAAUCCCAAAAGCAGUAGCUAUAAGGUAAGUGAAAAUCCCCAGAGUGGAUGAACAAAACACCCACAUCAAUGUCAACACAAAAUCACCCACAGCUGCUUUUACAGCACCCAUUGAAUACAAAAUCUUUGAAAUUUUUGACUUUCUCUUAGCUUCUGAAAACUGAAAUUCUCUCCCACUCGGUGAAAGAAGAAGGAUAUUGAGAUGAUUAACCU
Molecule: unclassified non-coding RNA, 508 nt
Filed under: Hevea brasiliensis (rubber tree)
Lineage: Eukaryota; Viridiplantae; Streptophyta; Magnoliopsida; Malpighiales; Euphorbiaceae
Source: RNAcentral